CAGCGCCGCGGGAAUACGAAGGGUGCAAGCGUUACUCGGAAUGACUGGGCGUAAAGGGCGCGUAGGCGGAUUGCGCAGUCAGAUGUGAAAUUCCUGGGCUUAACCUGGGGCUGCAUUUGAGACGCGUAGUCUUGAGUGCAGAAGAGGAGAGUGGAAUUCCACGUGUAGCGGUGAAAUGCGUAGAGAUCGGGAGGAACAUCAGUGGCGAAGGCGGCCAUCUGGGACAACACUGACGCUGAGGCACGAAAGCGUGGGGAGCAAACAGGAUUAGAUACCCCAGUAGUCCCUGUCUCUUAUACAC
RNAcentral lists this ribosomal RNA (301 nucleotides) under uncultured bacterium. Its description in RNAcentral is "partial 16S ribosomal RNA". It matches the Rfam family "Bacterial small subunit ribosomal RNA", at positions 509 to 809 of the family's 1533-position model. The record is from RNAcentral.